CAUCGUAAACCUCUGUAGCCGGGGACAAAUGUGGGAUUACUAUCCCAUUGAUGGUACCCGGAAAGUAAGGAUCGGCUAACUACGUGC
RNAcentral lists this ribosomal RNA (87 nucleotides) under uncultured bacterium. RNAcentral's name for it is "partial 16S ribosomal RNA". The record is from RNAcentral.